CGACUCUCGGCAACGGAUAUCUCGGCUCACGCAUCGAUGAAGAACGUAGCAAAAUGCGAUACUUGGUGUGAAUUGCAGAAUCCCGUGAACCAUCGAGUUUUUGAACGCAAGUUGCGCCCGAAGCCUUCUGGUUGAGGGCACGUCUGCCUGGGCGUCACGCAUCA
This 164-nucleotide ribosomal RNA is filed under the name Lasthenia gracilis. RNAcentral describes it as "5.8S ribosomal RNA". It matches the Rfam family "5.8S ribosomal RNA". Rfam says of the family: 5.8S ribosomal RNA (5.8S rRNA) is a component of the large subunit of the eukaryotic ribosome. It is transcribed by RNA polymerase I as part of the 45S precursor that also contains 18S and 28S rRNA. RNAcentral also lists the same sequence under 1 other name. Lineage: Eukaryota; Viridiplantae; Streptophyta; Magnoliopsida; Asterales; Asteraceae. The record is from RNAcentral.